CCUGCCUUCACAGACCUCAGUUUUUUGUUUUUGUUUUGUUUGUUUUCAUUUUUAGUGGCUGAAUUCUUAGUAACACCUCAAAGAAGCCACUUUCUUGGCUUGGGAUCUCAAGCCAAGCUAUGCACCAUGUUCAGUUUCGACCAUAAAAAUACGAUCUAAUUCCUUUUCCUAGAAAGGCUUCUGCAGGACCCGGCAAUAUACUGCUUACCAACUUCCUGUCCAAGUGGGGGUGGAGAAUCUAGAACUGUCCCAGGAAUGUGCCUUGGGCAUCUGUGUAUGACAAGGACAAAGCCAUGCCUGGGAAGGGUUGGUCGGUGGAUCAUCAAGUUUCUUUUAGUUUUUCCAAUUUCUUAGAUUCUAAGAAAGGAUAAUGCAGCUCCUGGUUUAUACUUCUUCUCUGACUCCUUGUGUCCUCAGGAUAAAAUUCCCACUGUCCUGAUCUGGUUGACAGCACCCUGCCUACCUCUCUGUCAUCAUCUUGGGUGUCUCCCCCUUGAACACUGUGCUCCAGCUGCCUGGACCUUUCGUCAGCUGUUUCCCAUCUCACAACUUUUGCCCCAGGUUCCCCUGUGCCUGCGAUGUGGUUUGAGUGUGUCUCCGAAACAUUCACGUACUGGCGGCUUAGUCUUCAGUGGUGGAGUUGAGACACCGAGCCUCAAGCAUACUGUUAUAAAACAGACUGAUGUCCUCCUUCCGGUGCAGCUUUGAGAACAUCCACCAGGUGGGCCUUCUCUGACCUCCUUCCU
RNAcentral lists this long non-coding RNA (746 nucleotides) under Fukomys damarensis (Damara mole-rat). Its description in RNAcentral is "lncRNA (ENSFDAG00000024276.1)". Lineage: Eukaryota; Metazoa; Chordata; Mammalia; Rodentia; Bathyergidae. The record is from RNAcentral.